This 253-nucleotide ribosomal RNA is filed under the name uncultured bacterium. RNAcentral's name for it is "partial 16S ribosomal RNA". It matches the Rfam family "Bacterial small subunit ribosomal RNA", at positions 524 to 776 of the family's 1533-position model. The record is from RNAcentral.
UACGGGGGGGGCAAGCGUUGUUCGGAAUUACUGGGCGUAAAGGGCUUGUAGGUGGCCAACUAAGUCAGACGUGAAAUCCCUCAGCUUAACUGGGGAACUGCUUCUGAUACUGGAUGGCUUGAGUUUGGGAGAGGGAUGCGGAAUUCCAGGUGUAGCGGUGAAAUGCGUAGAUAUCUGGAGGAACACCGGUGGCGAAGGCGGCAUCCUGGACCAACACUGACACUGAAAAGCGAAAGCCAGGGGAGUAAACGGG